Molecule: ribosomal RNA, 301 nt
Filed under: uncultured bacterium
Lineage: Bacteria
Description: partial 16S ribosomal RNA
Rfam family: Bacterial small subunit ribosomal RNA
Source: RNAcentral
CAGCAGCCACGGGAAUACGUAGGUGGCAAGCGUUGUCCGGAAUUAUUGGGCGUAAAGGGCUCGCAGGCGGUUUCUUAAGUCUGAUGUGAAAGCCCCCGGCUCAACCGGGGAGGGUCAUUGGAAACUGGGAAACUUGAGUGCAGAAGAGGAGAGUGGAAUUCCACGUGUAGCGGUGAAAUGCGUAGAGAUGUGGAGGAACACCAGUGGCGAAGGCGACUCUCUGGUCUGUAACUGACGCUGAGGAGCGAAAGCGUGGGGAGCGAACAGGAUUAGAUACCCGGGUAGUCCCUGUCUCUUAUAA